CCGAAAAUAGCUCAGCGGUAGAGCGGGAGACUGUAGGAAUAUUGCCCAGAAAUGGGCAGUAGUGAAGAUAUCUCUAGGUCCCUGGUUCAAAUCCGGGUUUUCGGA
RNAcentral lists this transfer RNA (105 nucleotides) under Coemansia aciculifera. Its description in RNAcentral is "tRNA-Tyr". It matches the Rfam family "tRNA". Rfam says of the family: Transfer RNA (tRNA) molecules are approximately 80 nucleotides in length. Their secondary structure includes four short double-helical elements and three loops (D, anti-codon, and T loops). Further hydrogen bonds mediate the characteristic L-shaped molecular structure. tRNAs have two regions of fundamental functional importance: the anti-codon, which is responsible for specific mRNA codon recognition, and the 3' end, to which the tRNAs corresponding amino acid is attached (by aminoacyl-tRNA synthetases). tRNAs cope with the degeneracy of the genetic code in two manners: having more than one tRNA (with a specific anti-codon) for a particular amino acid; and 'wobble' base-pairing, i.e. permitting non-standard base-pairing at the 3rd anti-codon position. The record is from RNAcentral. Lineage: Eukaryota; Fungi; Kickxellomycota; Kickxellomycetes; Kickxellales; Kickxellaceae.